UUUCCGUAGGUGAACCUGCGGAAGGAUCAUUAAUGAGUUGUCAUGGGGUUCGAUGUUGGCAGCCAGAUUUUCGAUGCAUGUGCUCGCCCAAACACUCAUCUUCUUCAAAACACCUGUGCACAUUUUUGAGGGAGUCUUGAGUUGGUUGCUGCUCUUGGGUGAUUUUCUCACAUUCCAUUAAAUCAUUAUACGCUAUUAGCAAUGAUGAACGAGCUCUGAGACGCGAGGCCCUUACUAUAAAACAACUUUUAACAACGUAUCUCUUGGCUCUCGCAUCGU
RNAcentral lists this unclassified non-coding RNA (279 nucleotides) under plant metagenome. RNAcentral's name for it is "partial contains small subunit ribosomal RNA, internal transcribed spacer 1, and 5.8S ribosomal RNA". The record is from RNAcentral.